This 253-nucleotide ribosomal RNA is filed under the name uncultured prokaryote. Its description in RNAcentral is "partial 16S ribosomal RNA". It matches the Rfam family "Bacterial small subunit ribosomal RNA", at positions 524 to 776 of the family's 1533-position model. The record is from RNAcentral.
UACAGAGGGUGCGAGCGUUAAUCCGAAUUACUGGGCGUAAAGGGUGUGUAGGUGGUUAGGUAAGUUAGAUGUGAAAUCCCCGGGCUCAACCUGGGAAUUGCGUUUAAAACUGUUUAGCUAGAGUAUUGUAGAGGAUAGUGGAAUUUCCAGUGUAGCGGUGAAAUGCGUAGAUAUUGGAAGGAACACCAGUGGCGAAGGCGACUAUCUGGGCAAAUACUGACACUGAGACACGAGAGCAUGGGGAGCAAACAGG